This 14259-nucleotide long non-coding RNA is filed under the name Olea europaea (common olive). Its description in RNAcentral is "long non-coding RNA (OEUR_LNC002566)". The record is from RNAcentral. Lineage: Eukaryota; Viridiplantae; Streptophyta; Magnoliopsida; Lamiales; Oleaceae.
AAAAAUAGCUAAAACGACGUCGUAAACUAGCCAUGAUUAUUGCUGCUGAAGCUAUUGUUGGUGGAUCCAUGUGGGCUUCGAUGACCAGCUGCUUAACACCAACUGUUCUCUUCUGCAUCUUGAACCUCACCAUAGUUACCAUUUUCAUCACUUCAUCCCUCGAAAAACCGCACGAACUCGGUGUUGACGAAGACGACUCGCAGCCGAAACUCAUCCGAGUCAAGUCAAUCAACUUCUCUACGUACAGCUCCGAACAGCCCGACCCGUUUGACUCCGCAGCCAGUGACGCCACCCUCCCACCUCAAGAAUCAACCCAUCUGCAAAAAUCUGAAUGUGUGGAAGAGAGUCACGUGAAUAGGAGUAGGUCCGACACUAGCGUGAAUGUUCCGGAGAGAAGGGUGUUGAAGAAGUCCGCGAGUGAGAAGGUGUUUGCGGCUGAGCGGCAGGAAGAGGAGGAUCGACUGCGGCCGGCAACGGUGAGGGAAACUACGUCGUGUAAUGGGACGGAGGAUGAGGAAGUGGAUGCUAAAGCUGAUGAUUUUAUUAACAGGUUUAGGCAACAUUUGAAAUUACAGAGGAUGGAGUCAAAUUUGAGGUACCAGGAGAUGACGAAUCGCCUUCGGAAUUGAAGCAUAUUUUUGUCACUGCUAAUCUCAAUAGCUAUAAUUUCCAAUUGCUUGAUAUCAAAAUGAAUUCAUUUUUGUUUAGUAAGUACUUGUUUGUACCCCGUUAUUUGUGAGUAAUGUAUUAUAGAAUAAUGAUUGAUAUUAAAUGAGUGGUUAAAAAAAAAAGUUUUUGAUUUAUGUAUAAUAUUAUUUUAAUGAAGAAUAUGUGGUUAAAAAUGAAUACUGUAAAAAAGAUAAUGCCGUAGAAUGUGGAAGAGAGGAAGACAAACAAGCCUAAAUUAAAAUUUGGGAAAAUUGCAGUUGGGCUCCCUAAUAUUUUCAAAAAGUUCUAACCUUUCAUUUUCUGCAGUACAGUCCUUCAUUUGGAAAAAUAAGCAUUUGAAGGAACUUUUGAUGGCUUGCGUCCAAAAAUUCUUUAAUUCAAAUUUGACUGAAAUUAGACCAUUUUUAAGAAGGGUAAAAAUCAAAAUUCCACAUUUUCAUGACAAGAAUUAAAACAAAUUUAACAAAAAAAAAAAUCAAAAAAAUGAAAUAGAAAAACCAAAAUAGGAUAAAAUCGCCACCACUGUAAUGCAAUCACAACAUCAACUCCGCCACUCUCAGCAUAACCAAAACUCCUCCACGGAAGCCUCACCCAAACCGUAACAUUACCCUACUAUGCCUCCGUAACCACCAAAAACUGCAGUGAAAAAUGUUGAUAAUAAGUUGAUGAAGACUAGAAAUAAAAAAAAUCAACAAGAAAAUGAUUCGCUAAAAAUGGAAGGUUAGAACGCGAUUAUGAAUAGUUGUCAAAAUCGUGUUCCUCAAACGAUAUUUGUCAUCAUCGAAGUAAGUGCUUGAAUGCUUUCAAAUUCAAAUAGUUUAUAGGAGUAAUCAAAACAUUAAUUCAAAUUUUGAAUCAAGUAAACAAACAUGGAAAGAAAUUUUUAGAACAAAAAUAAAUAAAUAAUAAUAAUAAUGAUAACAAACUUGAUUUGAUCUUUGAUUUGGAUACAGGUGAUGCUAAUUUUAUGUUUUGAACAUUUAUUCAACAUGAAAAUCGCCCAAUAUAUAUAUAUAUAGUAUAUCAACCUCUAUACAUGAAAGGGGUGCAAAAAAACAAGCCAAAAGGUUGUGAAUCUUGCCAAACGUCACCAAUAUUUAAAAAGUAACAGUAACAAAAAAUUGCACUGGGCGAUCGCCCAGUACAAAACCAGGUUUACCAAAAAUUGUUCUAUUUGAAAAGCCAAGGCUGGGCGAUCGUCCAUGGUUGAUCUCUUUCAAAUCACUCUCAUAAUAUGAACAAUAUUCUACCAGAAAACCAUCAAGUUUGAUUGUAUGAAACCUAGGGACUGUAAACUCGAUUUCGCAAACAAAUCAUGAUCACUACUGCGGUUUAGGAGAUCUCCACCCUAGUUAGAGCGAAAACCAAGUAGGGGAGAUCAACUGUGAUUUUUGCAUAAACCAGCACUUGGUUUGCACAAAAAACAAGGAAAUUUAUUUUCUUGGGUUUCACAACCAAUCUUUCGUCGUAGUUUGUGUAGCGAAGGAAAAGAUGUUGUGGCACCGUGCAUCUUUGGUGGGGUGGGAUUGAGGGAUGGGUAGAGUACUGUGAUGGGCUAGGGUUUGUAUAGAUGGAAAUUUUCAUUUGUAAAUAAUGGAGGUAUCGAAUGGUGUCCCCUUUACAAUGUAUGACGAAUACCAUGUGAAUUUAAAAAGGUCGGCCUAUGGUCUUCACUUCUGUUGUGAGUAGUAGGUAAAAGAUUCGAUAAAAAAACGAUAUGUAUAGCAUUCUCCAUGAAUAGAUAGCAAGUUUUAAGUAUAUGAGUAGAGUCGCUCUACUCUCCCACCAUCGAGUUCGACUCGGUCCACUUGGCGAGCCAGCUUUUGCUCAUAAAUGGAGCAAGUAGAGCAAGAGCUAGGUUGUUUCCAAAAUCCGAUCAAUUCGUCCCACGAACUCGUCCUUUGUUAGUAAUGAAGUGGUAAGAAUUUAUUGUAUUUUUACCUCCUUUAGUGUAAAAUAAAUGGUAGUUUAAAAAAUUAUAUGUUGUCAAAAGAAUAUAUUUAAAAAAUUAUAAAUUAUAAAAAUCCUCCUCCUUUGUCCAAACUUGGGACCAACUACAUAUAAUACGUAAAUGGAAUUAAAAUUGUUCACGAAUUAAUAUUUUGUGUAGAAUUUAUUUUACAAAGUAAUGAAAUAAAUACAGCCCUUAUUUGAUUCUCAUUUUUCAAGUCAAACAAUCAAUUUUUUGAUCGUUACUUAAUAUCGUUAGCCAUCAUUUUUUACUUCUUCACUCACACGUUAGACCCACUUUUGUUUGUUAUAUCCACGAUUAAGUUGAAUAAAAAGAAGAAAUAUAGGGAAAAAGUUACAAUCAUGUUUACUUUUAUUGAGUUGCUGAAGAAUAUAUAUAUUCAUUAAUUCUGCGUGCCUAUUCUCUCCUUCAUUUUCACUUAUUUUGUCUAGGCACAUUUAUUAGAGUACAAAAGUAUUUCUAAUUAGAGGGACUUGAAAACAAAUGUUUAAAACAAUAUAUUGCAGUUUCGUCUUUUCAAUUAAUGGGUCCGAAAAGAUAGGCUAAACAAAUAAUCGAAGCAAUAUUAAAAAUAUCGCUAGCGAUUUAUCUAUCCUUUUUUACCGUUGGUAAAUUUCCCAUCCGAAGAACUGUCAAGACGAUGUUAAAAUACUAAGAGUUUGUUUCUUAUUUAGGGUGUGUUUGUGAAAGAAUGAUUUUUUUAAAAGUGAUUUUUUGAGAAUGUAUAAUUAACAAAUAGAGAAAAAAUUUAAAAUGUGUGUGUGUCUAUAUAUAUAUAUAUAUAUAUAUACACACACACACACACACUAGUCUAUUGCCCGUGCAAUGCACAGGCAGGAUUCUGUUGCACGUUAUAUUAGCGUUUUUAAUGUUAAUAUCAGUUUACUGUUUAAAGAAAAAGUGAGUUCAUUAGUUAAAAAUAGAAUCAUUGGAUGUAAGCUAUGAUAUUAAUUUUGAAAUUGAAUGAUUUAAUAUUGUAAUAUUUCACUGUUUUUGCAAUGGAAAGGAGAAAAAGGAAAGUAAGACGCGUACACCAAACUUUAAAUUUCAAGAGUAGUAAUUUAUUACUAUUUGGUGGAAUCUGAAGUCUUGUACAUAGACAAAGAUAUAGACAGAUCAUGUUACUUUUUUCAGAAAUACAAAAUAGAACAUUGAUUACUGUCCACUGUCACAAAAGUAUCAUAGAUGUGAUUCAUUCAUGUUUUUCUUUUGAGGUGAUCCCAAUGGUUCAGUUAUUGGUUUUGGAGAUUGUGUGAGUCCCUUUUUUGGGUUUUGACUCUGCUUCAAUAGGCACAUUUGAUGGUUGGAAGAGAGACCUUUAUGCAUGCAGUGGAUUGAUUUCUUCAGUAGCGGUGGAAAUGUCAUCGGGUCGUCUGGACACCUUGUUCUUGCCUUUUACGUCUUUGUUGUUGGAAAUUUUUUCUAUUUCAAUUUGCUUGUUUGCAUCUUCUGUAACAAUUGAGGAAUCAACUGGAUUUGCCGUGGAGGAGUUGAACACGAAUAUUAUUUCAAAACGGUACUCAGGUGGGUCGUGGCGCUUUCUGUUGCCUUGAGGUAAAAGAGUAGCUCUGUAUCACUUUCCAAUUUGACAACGUCAUUGAGUUUUUUAAUACCUUCCUGUGGUUGAGGAAAUAUAUUUCAAUAGAGUGGCAUGUUUGUUGUUAAGAAAGAAAGCAUUUUCGAAGGGUGUUGAACAUGAUGUUUUACCUUCUGAAGAUGGUUCAUUAAGUCAUUGGCGCUACUUUCCAGUAACACUUCUACUGCAUCUCCUAUGAUGAUUGCAUCUAACGAACUAGAUUUGUCUUCAAGUUGUAUAAAAGCAUUUACCCUAAAGAAUGCGUUUUUUUUUUUUUUUUUAGUCAUGUAUUAUGUACCUUGUUCCUGAAAUAAUAAUUAGUAAAUUUUUGAACUUAUAUUUAAUAGAAGAAAUCACCUUGGAAUAACUUUUGAGUGUUCGUACUUGCAGAAUCAACAUUUAUGAAUUUCUCUAAAGUUCGCGUUGGAAGUUUUCUUGCAGUUGUUACAAGACAUAUAAUUUGUUUUCAUUAGGAAUACAACGAGACAUAUAAUUUUCAAAAGUAUAAAUAUAAUAUUCUUCUGGAAUAUUGACAUUAUUUAUUCAUUCUACCUUUCGAGUUAAAUAAUAAAAUUUAUGCCCUACAUGAGUAAUAAUGAAAUAUUUUUCUUGAAUAUUUAUAUAACAUAUGUUACGUUUUUUCGAGAACAUUAACAUUAUAUUUAUUUAAAAUAAAUAUAAUUUAAAUUAUGUUUUUUCAGGAACAUUGAGUCAAUAUACUUUUAGAAUAUUAAACUUGUAAUAUCACGCUCUUUAUAAGCAAGUAAUAUUCUUUUAAAAUAUCAAUAAUAUUGUGCUACUUUAGGAGUAACAACAAACUAUUUAUAAUAGAUAGAUAUAAAAUUAAUAUUCUUCUGAAAUAUUAAUUAUAAUGUUCUGCUAUUUUUAUAAUAACAACAUGAUAAAUUCUUAAUUUGAAGUUCAUAGAAGAAUAUCUAAAAAUAUUUAAUUAUCAUUUAGACAUGAUAUGAAUUUAUCUAGAAAAAUUAAUUACCCAACAUGCAUUAGAAAAAAGAAUAUCUAUAUAUAGAAGUUAACAAAAUUGGCUAAAUCUUUUACCAACAUACAAAAGAUACUAAACAUACAUGUGAAUUUCACAUAUAUAGAAAUUAAAAAUAGAACUAAUAUGUGACAGAUUCAAAAGACAUAAUUAAUACUAAAUAAUAUGUGAAAAAUGAUCGUGUAUGAAUAAAAAUAACGUGAAUUAAUAUGUGUUUAGAUUACACAUACAAACGUGAUUUAGAAUUAAUAUUCCCAUGAAAAGUAGAGAAGAAGAAGCAAUCUCAUUAUGAUGCAAUAUGUAUAUUGAAAUAUUUCACAUACUACAAAAUUAAUUUUGGUAUACGUGAUAAAUAUUUAUGCCUAUAAAAAUUAUUACUUUCACUAAAUUCUGAAAAAUUAAGCUAUCGUAUUGAUAACGUAUUAUGAAAAGAUAGAAAAAAAAGAAGAAAAUAGAGAGAAGUCGAUAGACUUAUGUGUAUUUUAUUAUUAACAACCAAAACCUUGUAUUUAUAGAACAAAAUCAGGGAUACAAUAAUAAUAAUUUCUAUGGUUGUGGUGGUAUAAUUGUCAUUCAACUCUAAACCCUAAUAAACAUACCUUUUACAACACAUUAUUCUUUUGUUAUAUAAUACUUUCUCCAUUUUAUUUAUAUAAAUGGGUUUUAUUUUCCAAACGGAUUAAGAAAUCUUAUUUAAUGGUAUUGAAAAAGUAAUUUUUGUCUAUAUGUUUCCUAAUCUACCCUUAUUUAUACUUAUACAAUUUUAAGAUUAUGUGCAAAAAAAUAGUUAUAAUUAGACAAAUUAAGUAAAUGUAUAUCAGAAAAUGAACAAAAUAAAACAUUCUCAAUAAAGAAAUAUGACUAUAUAAUUGGGACAAAAAAAAUAAGGAAAUGCAGUUUGUAUAAAUGGGACUGGGAGAGUAGUUGAUAUAUUCUCUCCAUCUUCUAAAGUUAGGUUUACUUCUUUUUAAUUUUUUUAAAAUUUUUUUGGGUAUAUCCCAAAUUAUAGGCAACUUUCUUUGUUGAGAGUAUAAUUGAUUUCUUAACUUUCUAAUAUGCCUCCAUUUAAUGUGUCCUGUUAACAAUAAAUAUGAAUAACUCAUAUUUAAACUAUUAUUUAUUGUAGGAGUAUAUUAUAAAAAAAAUAUGCAAAAUUUAUUUUUCCUAGUUCCAACUAUAUGAAUUACAUUUUCUUAAUCAGUUUGAUAAUGGAAGGAAGCGUAUUUCUAUAGGACAGAAUGAGUAUAAAAUAUAUAAUACGUAAUACUCCCUUCGUCCAAUAAAGAAAUGCUCAUUUAUAUUUUAACUUGGAUUGAUAAAAUAAUUAUUACACUAGAAAACAUUAAUAUUACUUACUUUUAUUCUAAUAUUUCAUACAUUACAUCAUAAUUCAGAUAAAAUUAGUUCAUUUUUGUUGAUAACAAUGUACAUUAAAAUCUUGUUUGACCCACCUUUUAAAAAAAAUACAUUUUAAAUAGUGAUUUAACAUCAUUUCAAUCACACAAUUUUCAAUAAAAUAAUAUUAAACGUAAAUUCAAAAUAUUUUCUUAUUUUUUAACCGUACGUUUUCCAUCAGUACGCUGUUAAAAAAUACAUUCUUAUGAAAAUAAUGUGACUCAAACAAGGGUUAAACAUGAACAUAUUAUGAAAUUAAGAAAUUAUUUAUAUUCUCAACAAGAAAAAAUGAUAUAUAAUAUUAUAUUUAUAUGUUACGCAAUGCUAGCUCUCUAAUUAUUGUGAAUUGGGUCAAUUGUAUUUCAGUAUUUAAGUCUUCGCUUCCCACUAGGCUCGUGGAAAUUAUUUUAUUAAUAAUAGUAAAUGCUGGUUUAACAUGAUCACAUCACAUGAAUGCUGGUCCAAAUUUCAAGUGUGAACAUGUUGAUAUGUCAGUCUAAAUAUCAAGUAUGAACAUUGGUGGAAAGAGUACAAAUUUCUUACUUACUCUCCACCUGUUUGUCCCUUCCAGUUGAAAAUAUUCAACAGUUUGUGGCUCUUUUGGCUAAAGGAUUAGAUUGGAUUCAAAUUCAAUUUGACUCAAUUCAUGGAAACUAUAGAAAGUUUAGCUGUCAGCAACACAAAAAUCAAAAUCACAAUAAUCAAAUAAUAUAACUGAUGCAAUCAAUAAAUAAAGGGAAAAUUCUUUAAUCUUUUUUUUUUUUUUUUUUUGAAGACUUUACUUUAACAUUUACUUUUGUGCCAGCAGAGGUUCUUAAUUUUUCAUAAAUACGCACUUGAGACCCAUUUGGGUGCAAACCAUCCGAAACACCGUCAGUUGACAAGAAAAAAUUGUUUAAAGAGGUAUCAGCAUCCAAUAAAAUCGUCGCAGUAGCACAUAGUUCAAGGAAUUUUUUUUCGUCAACUGACUGUGUUUUGGACGAUUUCCAUUCAGAUGGAUUUCGGGUGCAUAUUUAUGAAAGUUAGGGACCUUAACUAGUACAAAAUGAAAAUUACGGUAAAAUCUGCAAAAAUGAAAAGACUAGGGAUCUUCUCAAAGAAUAAACUAUCCUCCAAAGUCUCUAAAGGAGAAAGGCGAAGUUAGGAAGCGAGUGAAGUAAUCCUAGGGUAAUAAAAAUCACUCUUCUUUCAGCUCUUGUGAAAUGGUCUCUGUGGUUCGCUUGCCCUUAUGACUAUGCUUUCUAUUCUAUGGUGAACGUCGACUCUUACUUUCGUGGGAACAAGAAUAGCUAUGAUUUCAGAAGUUAUGAACUCUUCUCUCAGGUGGUUACUACAAUUUUCUCGUAAAUAAAGGUUAUAAGUGAACCAUUGGUUUUUUAUAAUGAUAUUUAAACAAGAAGUUAAAUAUAAAAGUAGCUAUCAUAUAAAAGACACCUGUAUAAAUAUAAUUUGUUGCACAAAAUAAACGAUAAAUUACGUCUUCGGUCACUGAACUAUCAUAGAAAUCUCCAUUGGGAUAGUAAACUUUAAUUGUCUCAAAUGUGCACUCAGUUAAGCCUUGUUUGGCUCUCAUUAAAUUACAUUUUAUUUUUUUUCUCUUAUUUUCAACCAUACGAUCUUCAAUAAAAUAAUAUUACACGUAAAUCGAAAAUUUUUCUUUCUUUUUCAACCACUCAUUUUUUUUUAAAAAAAAAUACUAUUUCAUUCAUUUUCAUUUCAAAAAAUAUGGACCAAACGGGGCUAAAUUUCACUAUUCUAUCACUAUCUUCUCCCAAAUUACUAAAAUUAUUUAAUUGACAAAUUGCAUACGUAACAUAACAUAUCUUCUACGUAAUCGGGCAUGACAUAUCAAUUGGUUAUUAUGCUACGUCAUAAAAAAAAUGUAUAUUUUCUUUUAACAUUUUAUUCACAACAUUAUUAUAAUUUCCAUUUAGCAUGAGUACUCUUUAAAUUCUUAUAUAUGAAAAUAAAAAAAUAAUUAAAAUUAAAGUAAAACUAAGCAUGAGUAGUAAGCAAGUAGAUAAAGUGACAACUAAUAAGUCACCGAGUAUAGUUUUGUGACUAACAGAUCAAGUAAACCUGUAGUCACUACUCGGUCAUUCGUUUAAAAUUUAAUUCCCAUUUUAACCUCUACCAAUGCAUAUAUAACAGAAACACUUCAGAGGUUUCUUCAUCUUUCUUUCAAUAGCUCCCGUCUCUGUAAUAAUACAAGAAAAAUAGCUAAAACGACGUCGAAAACUAACCAUGAUUAAUGCUGCUGAAGCUAUUGUUGGUGGAUCCAUGUGGGCUUCGAUGACCAGCUGCUUAACACCAACUGUUCUCUUCUGCAUCUUGAACCUCACCAUAGUUACCAUUUUCAUCACUUCAUCCCUCGAAAAACCGCACGAACUCGGUGAUGACGAAGACGAAUCGCCGCCGAAACUCAUCCGAGUCAAGUCAAUCAACUUCUCUACGUACAGCUCCGAACAGCCCUACCCGUUUGACUCCGCAGCCAGUCACGCCACGGCUCCACCUCAAGAACCAACUCAUCUGCAAAAAUCUGAAUGUGUGGAAGAGAGUCACGUGAAUAGGAGUAGGUCCGACACUAGCGUGAAUGUUCCGGAGAGAAGGGUGUUGAAGAAGUCCGCGAGUGAGAAGGUGUUUGCGGCUGAGCGGCAGGAAGAGGAGGAUCGACUGCGGCCGGCAACGGUGAGGGAAACUACGUCGUGUAAUGGGACGGAGGAGGAGGAAGUGGAUGCUAAAGCUGAUGAUUUUAUUAACAGGUUUAGGCAACAGUUGAAAUUACAGAGGAUGGAGUCAAAUUUGAGGUACCAAGAGAUGACGAAUCGGCUUCGGAAUUGAAGCAUAUUUUUGUCACUGCUUAAUCUCAAUAGCUAUAAUUUUCAAUUGCUUGAUAUUGAAAUGAAUUCAUUUUUCUUUAGUAAGUGCUUGUUUGUGCCCCCAUUAUUUGUGAGUAAUAUAUUAUAGAAUAUUAAACUUGUAAUAUCAUGCUCUUUAUAAGCAAGUAAUAUUCUUUUGAAAUAUCAAUAAUAUUGUGCUACUUUAGGAGUAACAACGAACUAUUUAUAAUAGAUAGAUAUAUAAUUAAUAUUCUUAUGGAAUAUUAAUUAUAAUGUUGUGCUAUUUUUAUAAUAACAACAUGAUAAAUUCUUAAUUUGAAGUUCAUAGAAGAAUAUCUAAAAAUAUUUAAUUAUCAUUUAGACAUGAUAUGAAUUUAUCUAGAAAAAUUAAUUACCCAAAUGCAUUAGAAAAAAGAAUAUCUAUAUAUAGAAGUUAACAAAAUUGGCUAAAUCUUUUACCAGCAUACAAAAGAUACUAAACAUACAUAUGAAUUUCACAUAUAUAGAAAUUAAAGAUAGAACUAAUAUGUGACAGAUUCAAAAGAUAUAAUUAAUACUAAAUAAUAUGUGAAAAAUGAUCGUGUAUGAAUAAAAAUAACGUGAAUUAAUAUGUGUUUAGAUUACACAUACAAACGUGAUUUAGAAUUAAUAUUCCCAUGAAAAGUAGAGAAGAAGAAGCAAUCUCAUUAUGAUGCAAUAUGUAUAUUGAAAUAUUUCACAUACUACAAAAUUAAUUUUGGUACACGUGAUAAAUAUUUAUGCCUAUAAAAAUUAUUACUUUCACUAAAUUCUAAAAAAUUAAGCUAUCGUACUGAUAACGUAUUAUGAAAAGAUAGAAAAAAAAAAUAGAGAGAAGUCAAUAGACUUAUGUGUAUUUUAUUAUUAACAACCAAAACCCUGUAUUUAUAGGACAAAAUCAGGGAUACAAUAAUAAUAAUUUCUAUGGUUGUGGGGGUAUAAUUGUCAUUCAACUCUAAACCCUAAUAAGCUUACCUUUAACAACACAUUAUUCUUUUGUUAUAUAAUACUUUCUCCAUUUUAUUUAUAUAGACGGGUUUUAUUUUCCAAACGGAUUAAGAAAUCUUAUUUAUUAAUGGUAUUGAAAAAGUAAUUUUUGUCUAUAUGUUUCCUAAUCUACCCUUAUUUAUACUUAUACAAUUUUAAGAUUAUGUGCAAAAAAAUAGUUAUAAUUAGACAAAUUAAGUAAAUGUAUAUCAGAAAAUGAACAAAAUAAAACAUCCUCAAUAAAGAAAUAUGACUAUAUAAUUGGGACAAAAAAAAUAAGGAAAUGCAGUUUGUAUAAAUGGGACUAGGAGAGUAGUUGAUAUAUUCUCUCCGUCUUCUAAAGUUAGGUUUACUUCUUUUUAAUUUUUUUAAAAUUUUUUUGGGUAUAUCCCAAAUUAUAGGCAACUUUCUUUGUUGAGAGUAUAAUUGAUUUCUUAACUUUCUAAUAUGCCUCCAUUUAAUGUGUCCUGUUAACAAUAAAUAUGAAUAACUCAUAUUUAAACUAUUAUUUAUUGUAGGAGUAUAUUAUAAAAAAAAUAUGCAAAAUUUAUUUUUCCUAGUUCCAACUAUAUGAAUUACAUUUUCUUAAUCAGUUUGAUAAUGGAAGGAAGCGUAUUUCUAUAGGACAGAAUGAGUAUAAAAUAUAUAAUACGUAAUACUCCCUUCGUCCAAUAAAGAAAUGCUCAUUUAUAUUUUAACUUGGAUUGAUAAAAUAAUUAUUACACUAGAAAACAUUAAUAUUACUUACUUUUAUUCUAAUAUUUCAUACAUUACAUCAUAAUUCAGAUAAAAUUAGUUCAUUUUUGUUGAUAACAAUGUACAUUAAAAUCUUGUUUGACCCACCUUUUUAAAAAAAAAUACAUUUUAAAUAGUGAUUUAACAUCAUUUCAAUCACACAAUUUUCAAUAAAAUAAUAUUAAACGCAAAUUCAAAAUAUUUUCUUAUUUUUUAACCGUACGUUUUCCAUCAAUACGCUGUUAAAAAAUGCAUUCUUAUGAAAAUAAUGUGACUUAAACAAGGGUUAAAGAUGAACAUAUUAUGAAAUUAAGAAAUUAUUUAUAUUCUCAACAAGAAAAAAUGAUAUAUAAUAUUAUAUUUAUAUGUUAAGCAAUGGUAGCUCUCCAAUUAUUGUGAAUUGGGUCAAUUGUAUUUAAGUCUUCGUUUCCCACUAGGCGCGUGGAAAUUAUUUUAUUAAUAAUAGUAAAUGCUGGUUUACCAUGAUCACAUCACAUGAAUGCUGGUCCAAAUUUCAAGUGUGAACAUGUUGAUAUGUCAGUCUAAAUAUCGAGUAUGAACAUUGGUGGAAAGAGUACAAAUUUCUUACUUACUCUCCAUCUGUUUGUCCCUUCCAGUUGAAAAUAUCCAUCAGUUUGUGGCUCUUUUGGCUAAAGGAUUAGAUUGGAUUCAAAUUCAAUUUGACUCAAUUCAUGGAAACUAUAGAAAGUUUAGCUGUCAUCAACACAAAAAUCAAAAUCACAAUAAUCAAAUAAUAUAACUGAUGCAAUCAAUAAAUAAAGGGAAAAUUAGCAACAGUCUUUAAUCUUUUUUUCUUUUUUUUUUAAGACUUUACUUUAACCUUUACUUUUGUGUCAGCAGAUGUUCUUAAUUUUCAUAAAUAUGCACUUGAGACCCAUAUGGAUGCAAACCAUCCGAAAUACCGUCAGUUGACGAGAAAAAAUUGUCUAAAAAGGUAUUAGCAUCCAAUAAAAUCGUCGCGGUAGCAGAUAGCUCAAGGAGUUUUUUUUGUCAAUUGACGGUGUUUUGGAUGAUUUCCGUUCAGAUGGAUUUCAUGUGCAUAUUUAUGAAAGGUUAGAAUAAAGUCUGCAAAAAUGAAAAGACUAGGGAUCUUCUCAAAGAAUAAACUAUCCUUCAAAGUCUAUAAAGGAGAAAGGCGAAGUUAGGAAGCGAGUGAAGUAAUCCUAGGGUAAUAAAAAUCACUCUUCUUUCAGCUCUUGUGAAAUGGUCUCUGUGGUUCGCUUGCCCUUAUGACUAUGCUUUCUAUUCUAUGGCGUCGACUCUUACUUUCGUGGGAACAAGAAUAGCUAUGAUUUCAAAAGUUAUGAACUCUUCUCUCAGGUGGUUACUACAAUUUUCUCGUAAAUAAAGGUUAUAAGUGAACCAUUGGUUUUUUAUAAUGAUAUUUAAACAAGAAGUUAAAUAUAAAAGUAGCUAUCAUAUAAAAGACACCUGUAUAAAUAUAAUUUGUUGCACAAAAUAAACGAUAAAUUACGUCUUCGGUCACUGAACUAUCAUAGAAAUCUCCAUUGGGAUAGUAAACUUUAAUUGUCUCAAAUGUGCACUCAGUUAAGCCUUGUUUGGCUCUCAUUAAAUUACAUUUUAUUUUUUUUCUCUUAUUUUCAACCAUACGAUCUUCAAUAAAAUAAUAUUACACGUAAAUCGAAAAUUUUUCUUUCUUUUUCAACCACUCAUUUUUUUUAAAAAAAAAAUACUAUUUCAUUCAUUUUCAUUUCAAAAAAUAUGGACCAAACGGGGCUAAAUUUCACUAUUCUAUCACUAUCUUCUCCCAAAUUACUAAAAUUAUUUAAUUGACAAAUUGCAUACGUAACAUAACAUAUCUUCUACGUAAUCGGGCAUGACAUAUCAAUUGGUUAUUAUGCUACGUCAUAAAAAAAAUGUAUAUUUUCUUUUAACAUUUUAUUCACAACAUUAUUAUAAUUUCCAUUUAGCAUGAGUACUCUUUAAAUUCUUAUAUAUGAAAAUAAAAAAAUAAUUAAAAUUAAAGUAAAACUAAGCAUGAGUAGUAAGCAAGUAGAUAAAGUGACAACUAAUAAGUCACCGAGUAUAGUUUUGUGACUAACAGAUCAAGUAAACCUGUAGUCACUACUCGGUCAUUCGUUUAAAAUUUAAUUCCCAUUUUAACCUCUACCAAUGCAUAUAUAACAGAAACACUUCAGAGGUUUCUUCAUCUUUCUUUCAAUAGCUCCCGUCUCUGUAAUAAUACAAGAAAAAUAGCUAAAACGACGUCGAAAACUAACCAUGAUUAAUGCUGCUGAAGCUAUUGUUGGUGGAUCCAUGUGGGCUUCGAUGACCAGCUGCUUAACACCAACUGUUCUCUUCUGCAUCUUGAACCUCACCAUAGUUACCAUUUUCAUCACUUCAUCCCUCGAAAAACCGCACGAACUCGGUGAUGACGAAGACGAAUCGCCGCCGAAACUCAUCCGAGUCAAGUCAAUCAACUUCUCUACGUACAGCUCCGAACAGCCCUACCCGUUUGACUCCGCAGCCAGUCACGCCACGGCUCCACCUCAAGAACCAACUCAUCUGCAAAAAUCUGAAUGUGUGGAAGAGAGUCACGUGAAUAGGAGUAGGUCCGACACUAGCGUGAAUGUUCCGGAGAGAAGGGUGUUGAAGAAGUCCGCGAGUGAGAAGGUGUUUGCGGCUGAGCGGCAGGAAGAGGAGGAUCGACUGCGGCCGGCAACGGUGAGGGAAACUACGUCGUGUAAUGGGACGGAGGAGGAGGAAGUGGAUGCUAAAGCUGAUGAUUUUAUUAACAGGUUUAGGCAACAGUUGAAAUUACAGAGGAUGGAGUCAAAUUUGAGGUACCAAGAGAUGACGAAUCGGCUUCGGAAUUGAAGCAUAUUUUUGUCACUGCUUAAUCUCAAUAGCUAUAAUUUUCAAUUGCUUGAUAUUGAAAUGAAUUCAUUUUUCUUUAGUAAGUGCUUGUUUGUGCCCCCAUUAUUUGUGAGUAAUAUAUUAUAGAAUAUUAAACUUGUAAUAUCAUGCUCUUUAUAAGCAAGUAAUAUUCUUUUGAAAUAUCAAUAAUAUUGUGCUACUUUAGGAG